GUGCCAGCCGCGCGGUAAUACCGGCAGCUCAAGUGAUGUCCCAUCUUAUUGGGCCUAAAGCGUCCGUAGCUGGCCGACCAAGUCUCCCGGGAAAUCCACCCGCCCAACGGGUGGGCGUCCGGUGGAAACUGGCCGGCUUGGAACCGGAAGGCUCAGAGAGUACGUCCGGGGUAGGAGUGAAAUCCCGUAAUCCCGGACGGACUACCGAUGGCGAAAGCACUCGGAGAAGACGGCUUCGACAGUGAGGGACGAAAGCCAGGGUCUCCAACCGGAUUAGAAACCCCUGUAGUCC
RNAcentral lists this ribosomal RNA (292 nucleotides) under uncultured bacterium. Its description in RNAcentral is "partial 16S ribosomal RNA". It matches the Rfam family "Archaeal small subunit ribosomal RNA", at positions 455 to 747 of the family's 1478-position model. The record is from RNAcentral.